This 264-nucleotide ribosomal RNA is filed under the name uncultured archaeon. Its description in RNAcentral is "partial 16S ribosomal RNA". It matches the Rfam family "Archaeal small subunit ribosomal RNA", at positions 717 to 982 of the family's 1478-position model. The record is from RNAcentral.
ACACGACUACAUUAGAUACCCCCGUAGUCCCAGCCCUAAACGAUGCGCGUUAGGUGUAUCGGUGACCACGAGUCACCGAGGUGCCGAAGGGAAACCGUAAAACGUGCCGCCUGGGAAGUACGGUCGCAAGGCUGAAACUUAAAGGAAUUGCGGGGGAGCACCACAACGGGUGGAGCCUGCGGUUUAAUUGGACUCAACGCCGGGAAGCUUACCGGAUAAGACAGCGGAAUGAUUGCCGGGCUGAAGACUCUGCAUGACCAGCUG